This 253-nucleotide ribosomal RNA is filed under the name uncultured bacterium. RNAcentral describes it as "partial 16S ribosomal RNA". It matches the Rfam family "Bacterial small subunit ribosomal RNA", at positions 524 to 776 of the family's 1533-position model. The record is from RNAcentral.
UACGUAGGGACCGAGCGUUGUCCGGAUUCAUUGGGCGUAAAGAGCUCGUAGGCGGCUGUUCAAGUCGAACGUGAAAACUCGGAGCUCAACUCCGAGCCUGCGUUCGAUACUGGACGGCUAGAGUCUGGUAGGGGGAUCUGGAAUUCCUGGUGUAGCGGUGGAAUGCGCAGAUAUCAGGAGGAACACCGGUGGCGAAGGCGGCUUUCUGGACAGAUACCGACGCUGAGGCACGAAAGCUAGGGGAGCAAACAGG